This 71-nucleotide transfer RNA is filed under the name Loxodonta africana (African savanna elephant). It matches the Rfam family "tRNA". From Rfam's summary of the family: Transfer RNA (tRNA) molecules are approximately 80 nucleotides in length. Their secondary structure includes four short double-helical elements and three loops (D, anti-codon, and T loops). The record is from Rfam by way of RNAcentral. Lineage: Eukaryota; Metazoa; Chordata; Mammalia; Proboscidea; Elephantidae.
GCCCUGGUGACAUGAUGGUUAAGUGCUUGGCUGCUAACCAAAAGGUUGGUGGUUCAAACCCACCCAGUGUG